AAGGUUGACCUCGGAUCAGGUAGGAAUACCCGCUGAACUUAAGCAUAUCAAUAAGCGGAGGAAAAGAAACCAACAGGGAUUGCCCUAGUAACGGCGAGUGAAGCGGCAACAGCUCAAAUUUGAAAUCUGGCUACUUCGUAGUCCGAGUUGUAAUUUGUAGAGGAUGCUUUUGGUGAAGUGCUUUCUGAGUUCCCUGGAACGGGACGCCAGAGAGGGUGAGAGCCCCGUACAGUUAGCAACUGAUCCUUUGUAUAGCUCCUUCGACG
RNAcentral lists this ribosomal RNA (266 nucleotides) under Catunica adiposa. RNAcentral describes it as "Ceratocystis adiposa partial 26S ribosomal RNA". It matches the Rfam family "Eukaryotic large subunit ribosomal RNA", at positions 1 to 262 of the family's 3401-position model. Lineage: Eukaryota; Fungi; Ascomycota; Sordariomycetes; Microascales; Ceratocystidaceae. The record is from RNAcentral.